GGAGGCUUCAGCAUGGCUGAAAUAACCAGCAAACCACAGGAGUUUAGGACAGAUAAGGACCAAGCAGCCAGAAGUGCAGAACAACCAACAAGAAGCACAGAACAACCAGCCCUUAGCAGAGAAGAACAAAGCACAAGCAGGAAACAAGUAAUCACAAGCAUGGAACAACCAACCAGAAGUGCAGAACAACAAACCACAAGUGUGGAACAACCAACCACAAGUAUGAAACAACCAACCACAAGCACAGAAUAAACAGCUCCUAGCCCAGGGCAACCAAUCACAAGUGGGGAACAGCCAGUCAUAAGCACAGAACAACCAAUUCCAAGCAUAGAACAACAAAAACAGGAGCAUAACAACCAACCACAAGCAGGGAACAACCAAUCACAAGUGCAAAACAACUAACCACAAGCAUGGAACAACCCACCACAAAUGGGGAACAAUCAACCAUAAGUGCAGAACAAUCAACCACAAACAUGGAACAAUCAACCAAAAGCAGGGAAGGAUGAAACGCAAACAUGGAAGAACCAACCACAAGUGGGAUCAACCAACUACAAGCAGGAAACAACCAAUGACAAGCACAGAAUAACCAACCACAAGUUGGUAACAACCAAUCACAAGUAUGAAAUAGCCAACUACAAGCAUGGAAAAACAAACCACAAGUGCAGAACAACCAACCACAAGUGAGGAACAACCACUCACAAGCAGGGAAUAACUAACCACAAGCAUGGAACAACCAGCCAUGAGCGGGGAACAACCAAUUACAAGGAGGAACCUACCAACCUGAAGCACAGAACAACCAACCGUAAAUAUGGAACAACCAAACACAAGCAGGGAACAACCAAUCACAAGCAGGGAACAACCAACCACAAGCACAGAACAACCAACCACAAGUGGGAACCGCUGAUAACAAGUGGAGAACAACCAUCCACAAAGGCAGAACCACUAUCCACAAGCACUCAGGACAGGAAGGAGAGGAUGAUCACCUGUCAAUACAAGUGCAGAGACACUGACAAGGUCAGAUGACCGUACCCAUACUCCUCUUUUUUCUCAUUGAUCCCCCAACCAAGACCCCUACCCUGUCCUUGCCUGGCACAAACUCCCUCCUCAGGCUACUCCUUCUUACUACAUCCCCUUCCCAUCCAGUCUCCAUUCUCUUCCCCCAAACUGAUGCCCUUCUGUGCUCACCUUGUUGCCUUUCCAAGUGCAGAAGACAGCCAAGCAAAUAGAGAUGUCCCUGCAAGCACAUGCAGCCACAAGAUCUUCUGAAGCAUCCAUCACUAGUUCAACAAAGCACAAGAGAAGUGAAUCAAAAUACCAGAUGGAAUUAGCUGGAGCAGAACCAAGAGACCUCGGAGACCUCCGCCGAUCCAAGUAAUGCACUGUGUAUAGAGAGCCCUGGAGAGCCUACAACUAUCUGCUGCAUCUCCAGAGGAGCCUGUGGAGAGAUGGCCAACCACGUAGAGACCAAAUGUUACACCAAUAGGCUACACAGAUUGCAAUUAUUAUUAACAUAAGAUCAACAAGAUAUGAAAAGAUGUGUGUGUCGCUGUAAGUUCUCUGACGGUAGGGAUGGAAGGGAGAGGCAGGUGUGUCAGAGGGGUGGGAGAUAGAGUCCUGCAGGGUCAGGGGCUGGACCAGCAGGUCCACAGUUAGCCAGACAGUGGGAGAUAAGGACUGGGUCAAGAUUGAAAACUGAAGACAAAUUUCCUCCUUAAACUCUUUAUUUGACUGGCAGGAGGGAAGGAACUUGGUGUUUACAUGAGUGAAAAACAACCUCAGAAGUUUCCUCAUGCCUCUUGGUGAUCCUUCUCUCCCACCUCUCCCUGCAACUCCAUCUGUAAGCAGCUGCUGAUCUGCUUCCUGUCUUCAGUCUUCAUAUAAUUGUUUUAUUUUAUAUACUUUUAUAUAAACAGAAUCAUAC
This 1921-nucleotide long non-coding RNA is filed under the name Equus caballus (horse). RNAcentral's name for it is "lncRNA (ENSECAG00000043082.2)". Lineage: Eukaryota; Metazoa; Chordata; Mammalia; Perissodactyla; Equidae. The record is from RNAcentral.